GAAAUGCGAUAAUUAAUGUGAAUUGCAGAAUUCAGUGAAUCAUCGAGUCUUUGAACGCACAUUGCGCCCCCUGGUAUUCCGGGGGGCAUGCCUGUCCGAGCGUCAUUGCUGCCCUCAAGCACGGCUUGUGUGUUGGGCUUCCGUCCCUGGCAACGGGGACGGGCCCAAAAGGCAGUGGCGGCACCAUGUCUGGUCCUCGAGCGUAUGGGGCUUUGUCACCCGCUCCCGUAGGUCCAGCUGGCAGCUAGCCUCGCAACCCAUCUUUUUAACCAGGUUGACCUCGGAUCAGGUAGGGAUACCCGCUGAACUUAAGC
This 314-nucleotide unclassified non-coding RNA is filed under the name plant metagenome. RNAcentral's name for it is "partial contains 5.8S ribosomal RNA, internal transcribed spacer 2, and large subunit ribosomal RNA". The stretch from base 1 to 105 matches the Rfam family "5.8S ribosomal RNA", at positions 50 to 154 of the family's 154-position model. The record is from RNAcentral.